Molecule: long non-coding RNA, 600 nt
Organism: Lolium rigidum
Lineage: Eukaryota; Viridiplantae; Streptophyta; Magnoliopsida; Poales; Poaceae
Exons: 4
Source: RefSeq, a predicted model, not a curated record
CCUUCUAGCUUGUUGUUGGCUCUAUGUAUAUCGCACCAACGGUUUAUAUUGUUGUGAACAGUUAAGGUUCGAGUUCGAUGAGGACCAAGAGGAAGUAAAGCAUGUUCUCAACAGUCUAUUCUCAGACUGUCUGCGCCAGUAUCGCAGCAGGCUAAAGAAGAAAUACUUCACUGGAAAGAUUACUGGGAGUGUUCCAACUAGAUCUCCUCUUAAGCAAAUGACUGACAAAUAGUGGGGAGAUCUUGUGAAGCACUGGUCUGAUCCAAAGAAUAUGAAUUUGGCUAAACAGAAUCAGAAAAACCGUGGUAAACUACUUUUACCUAGCCGUACGGGAUCUCGUAACCUUAUAGUGCACAUUCGGCAAAAAAUGUUACAUAAUGCAAGUAAAAGGGAACCAAAUAAAGAGAUGACUCUGACAGAGAUUUUUGAAGCAUGCCAGAAGAACAAACUUGAAGUGAUUGGAGAAGUCGCACAGAGUGUUCUUAUAGAUAUGAAAUUAGAGAUGGCAAAACCCGGUAAAAACGGUCUGGAAAAAACCGAUGAAGAAUGUGUGAAGGCAUUUUCCAUGGCAAUAAAAAAGAAAGGCAUUGCCAAAAACAC